UACGGAGGGAGCUAGCGUUGUUCGGAAUUACUGGGCGUAAAGCGCACGUAGGCGGCUUUGUAAGUUAGAGGUGAAAGCCCGGAGCUCAACUCCGGAACUGCCUUUAAGACUGCAUCGCUUGAAUCCAGGAGAGGUGAGUGGAAUUCCGAGUGUAGAGGUGAAAUUCGUAGAUAUUCGGAAGAACACCAGUGGCGAAGGCGACUAACUGGACAUGUAUUGACGCUGAGGUGCGAAAGCGUGGGGAGCAAACAGG
RNAcentral lists this ribosomal RNA (253 nucleotides) under uncultured bacterium. RNAcentral's name for it is "partial 16S ribosomal RNA". It matches the Rfam family "Bacterial small subunit ribosomal RNA", at positions 524 to 776 of the family's 1533-position model. The record is from RNAcentral.